Molecule: long non-coding RNA, 960 nt
Filed under: Gallus gallus (chicken)
Lineage: Eukaryota; Metazoa; Chordata; Aves; Galliformes; Phasianidae
Description: lncRNA (ENSGALG00010010189.1)
Source: RNAcentral
AUUUAUGAUACAGGAAUGUUUUAAUCAAUGAAUUUUCUAUUCCCUUUGUACUAUUUGUAUGUAGGUAUCCUGAGGCUCUUAUAUUUUUUAUUGCAUAAUUACAAGUUGUUUUCCUAUCUACUCACAUCUCAGGCCUUCAGGAAAAGAAAUUACAAGAAUCAAGUCUGACCACUGUUUAUCAAAACUUCUAAGUCAUAGUUUCUUUCCCAGUACCCUAUGACUCAGGUUAUAUAUAUAUAUUCUAUGCUGAAGGAUGUUAACCUUUAAUCAAUCUGUUUUUUGAACACAUACAAGAAUACCUUGCAUUAUUUUCCUUUCACUUGUUUUGAAGAACCUCUUGCCUUUCCUCUUUCACCUCUUUGAUCUAAUGUGAUUUCUAGCACAGUUCUUAAACUCAAUAACUCAGCAUUAGAUUACUUAUACUUUUUCAUCCUUUCUUUAUCCUAGGUUUGUUGUUGUUGUUGUAGUUGUUUGUUUUGUUUUUGCUAGACUCCACACAUGCACUGCAGAAUGGUUUUGGUGCACCUGCAUUUUGAAACAACAUUGUAUAUCUUUGCAAACUUUGUGGAAGUGUAUGAUUGGGAUUCUGGAGAUAAAAUCAUCAGCGAUUCUAGCUUGGGGCCAAACAUGAUUCUAAAAAACAACUCUGGCUUGAUGAUGGAUAUAUGGUACUGAUGUCCAAAAUGAAAUAAACUAUACUAUGCAUAUAAUGUGCAUAUUAGUUUAUUACCCUCUAUUAUUCAAACAUUUCUAACUAUCCUGCAAAAGGCUGGUACUGAAGUUUAUUAUGUGACAGAAAACCUACAACUGUCUUGACAGUAGAAAAAAAAGAAUGAAUCUGCCUCUAAUUAGGCAUCAGUAACAAAACUUAAGCUUAGGAGGUACGUUGUCUAAUUACUUCUAAGUAUAAAUAAGAGAGUUUUGCACAUGAACAUAUUUAAGUGUGCCUUUUAAUCAAUG